Molecule: ribosomal RNA, 253 nt
Filed under: uncultured bacterium
Lineage: Bacteria
Description: partial 16S ribosomal RNA
Rfam family: Bacterial small subunit ribosomal RNA
Source: RNAcentral
UACGAAGGGUGCAAGCGUUACUCGGAAUUACUGGGCGUAAAGCGUGCGUAGGUGGUUUGUUAAGUCUGUUGUGAAAGCCCCGGGCUCAACCUGGGAAUGGCAAUGGAUACUGGCAAGCUAGAGUGCGGUAGAGGGUAGUGGAAUUCCCGGUGUAGCGGUGAAAUGCGUAGAGAUCGGGAGGAACACCAGUGGCGAAGGCGGCCUUCUGGACGGUGACUGACGCUGAGGCGCGAAAGCGUGGGGAGCAAACGGG